Molecule: long non-coding RNA, 1215 nt
Organism: Carcharodon carcharias (great white shark)
Lineage: Eukaryota; Metazoa; Chordata; Chondrichthyes; Lamniformes; Lamnidae
Exons: 3
Source: RefSeq, a predicted model, not a curated record
UGAACUGUGUCACAGUUUCAAGUAAUGCGGCUGCUCCCGUUGUGUUGGAGCUGGAGAUGUGUUUCUGUGCAUGAAUGUACCAAAUUAGAACAGGAUAUCGCUCCGUUAUCACCUUGAUCUUCCCACGCAGGAGAACAGUCACAAAAUGAAGGAAGGGCACGCCAGGCAGAUGAACAGGUCUUGGAUCGAUCAGCAACCAUCGAACCGAAUAUCAGUGCCAGUUUCUUCCAGAUUUCCAGCAUCUGCAGUAUCUUGCAUUGGAUAUCAGAAUCCACGUGUGUCUCAGAGUAGAAGACAUUGAUCAUCAGCACUAUCCAAUUCAGCAAUGCCAACCACAACUUGCAUUUAUAUCGCGCCUCCAAUACAUAGUAAAACAUCCCAAGGUGCUUCACAGGAGCGAUUAUCAAACACAGUCCAACAGCGAGCCAGGUGAGAAGAUAUUAGGACAGGGGACCAAAAACUAGGUCAAAGAGGUACAUAUUUAAGGAGCAUCUUAGAGGAGGGGAGAGAGGUAGAGAGAGGGGAGCAAUUAAAAUCAGGGAUACUGCAAGAGGUGAGAAUUAGAGGAGUGCAAAGAUCUCGGACGAUUGUAGAACUGGAGGAUGUUAACCUGGAGAAAUGGGGGUCUCUAUUGCCUGCCCUUCCUAUAAGGAAACAAAACACUAUGAACCAUUCCUGAGGGGCAGUCGAUGGCCCUCACAUUCAACACUAACUAUACAGAAUAAGACCCAUUCUGCACACCAUUUCUUGGGGUGUCUUGGCCUCCUCCCGCUGGAAUUCAAACAUGCAAGUGUUCAUUCUUCAGCCAUGAGUUUGGACAUUGAGUGUGACGUGUACUAUUGCGCUAGGGAGGGCAGGACAACUGACCCUGAUGUUGACCUCACCUGAGCUGGCACCUCACUGCAACAUGGAUAGCGGCCAGGAGCCCUGGCUGAUUUCUUCAACCUCACCACCCCCACCUUGAACCCUGCCACCCUCACCCACCAUUGGCACUAAGUCCAGCUGUAGUGCCACUACUUCACUGAGAUUAUGAAAGCCAGCACAGACACAGAUCCAUGUGACAGGUUACCUUGUAGGGUGUGAUAUUGCAACAUUGUAUGUAUUUGACACAUUUUUACUCAAACUGUAUUUACAGAAACAACAUUCUGUUGCAUACCACAUUCGUGUACAAUAUACAGAAUGAGCCAUGUGAAGGUGAUGGAGCUCAAAGUCAUU